This 413-nucleotide ribosomal RNA is filed under the name Papiliotrema sp. Its description in RNAcentral is "partial 28S ribosomal RNA". It matches the Rfam family "Eukaryotic large subunit ribosomal RNA", at positions 101 to 520 of the family's 3401-position model. Lineage: Eukaryota; Fungi; Basidiomycota; Tremellomycetes; Tremellales; Rhynchogastremaceae. The record is from RNAcentral.
GGAAGAGCUCAAAUUUGAAAUCUGGCGUGCUCAGUGCGUCCGAGUUGUAAUCUAUAGAGGCGUUUUCCGUGCCGGACCGUGUCCAAGUCCCUUGGAACAGGGUAUCAAAGAGGGUGACAAUCCCGUACUUGACACGAUGACCGGUGCUCUGUGAUACGUCUUCUACGAGUCGAGUUGUUUGGGAAUGCAGCUCAAAAUGGGUGGUGAGUUCCAUCUAAAGCUAAAUAUUGGCGAGAGACCGAUAGCGAACAAGUACCGUGAGGGAAAGAUGAAAAGCACUUUGGAAAGAGAGUUAAACAGUACGUGAAAUUGUUGAAAGGGAAACGAUUGAAGUCAGUCGUGACUGAGAGGCUCAGCCGGUUCUGCCGGUCUAUUCCCCUCAGUUGGGUCAACAUCAGUUUUGUCCGGUGGAU